AGUGAACGCUGGCGGUAGGCCUAACACAUGCAAGUCGAACGGCAGCACAGUAAGAGCUUGCUCUUACGGGUGGCGAGUGGCGGACGGGUGAGGAAUACAUCGGAAUCUACUUUUUCGUGGGGGAUAACGUAGGGAAACUUACGCUAAUACCGCAUACGACCUACGGGUGAAAGCAGGGGAUCUUCGGACCUUGCGCGAUUGAAUGAGCCGAUGUCGGAUUAGCUAGUUGGCGGGGUAAAGGCCCACCAAGGCGACGAUCCGUAGCUGGUCUGAGAGGAUGAGAAGCCAAACUGGAACGGAGACACGGUACAGACUCCGACGGGAGGAAGAAGGGGGGAAUAUUGGACAAGGGGCGCAAGCAUGAACAAGCAAUACCGCGUGGGUGAAGAAGGCAUUCGGGUUGGAAAGCCAUUUUGUUGGGAAAGAAAAGAAGCAGGUUAAAACCCCGAGGUUCUGACGGUACCAAAAAAAUAAGCACCGGCUAACUUCGUG
This 492-nucleotide ribosomal RNA is filed under the name uncultured bacterium. RNAcentral describes it as "partial 16S ribosomal RNA". It matches the Rfam family "Bacterial small subunit ribosomal RNA", at positions 29 to 507 of the family's 1533-position model. The record is from RNAcentral.